Molecule: long non-coding RNA, 844 nt
Organism: Cyprinus carpio carpio
Lineage: Eukaryota; Metazoa; Chordata; Actinopteri; Cypriniformes; Cyprinidae
Source: Ensembl
UUCCAACCCGACUUUACAACAGAUGUCAUAACUUCCCAGAACACUUAUCUCAGAUGUCUAUGAAAAUAAAAUGACGCCUUUAUGGACUCUAAAGAUAACCAAUGCUUACGACAUGAAAAUAUGUACUAAAAUGAAAGACGUCGGUCUUGUUCAAAGGGACUGCCCCUUACAAGCACCUCAUUGUCAUUCUUCUCAUUUUGCAGCUGUGGCUGCACUUUUCCAGUAUGACGAAAGGGAAAUGAUGUAAUCUCUAUGCAGGGAAGAUGCUUUUGUGAGAGGCUUUUCAUCAACAUUUCGAAAGUGCUCUCUGUGUUUAAACACGGUGACUGGUUACUCCCCUAAGGUGUAUAAUUUAAAGCACACUGUUACAAACAGACUCAGAAUCCAACACAAAUGCUUGUUUGGCAUGUAUCCGUGAUACAGAGCAGUCAAUGGAUCUGUAGAUUGAGUCAGGCAGGAUACUAUUUGAACUGAACUGAGCUGGAUGAUGAGAUCACUGAAUCAAUAAAGAAAACUGGAAAAUUGAGUUUCCAGUUGCUUCAUUACCACACUACUGUAGCUAUUCCUGCACCAUGGUAAGUAGCAUGCAAACACUUCAACAGCAACAACUAGCACACUACCUAAAGUAUUUGAUCAAAAAUUUACUGACAUUAAAAAAUUGAAUAAAAAAGAAAUACAUUUCUUUUGAAUGAUUAACAAAAAUCUGUACUCAAGAUGCCUGAAGCAAACUGCCAAGUAACAAAAAAGUCACACAUAAAGAAUGUUUGAAAGAGUCACACACCAGCCAGAAACAUUCAUAGCUGCUGGCAGUUUAACUUUACAACUGCAGUUGUGUAAUACGUGC